RNAcentral lists this ribosomal RNA (461 nucleotides) under uncultured bacterium. RNAcentral's name for it is "partial 16S ribosomal RNA". It matches the Rfam family "Bacterial small subunit ribosomal RNA", at positions 338 to 795 of the family's 1533-position model. The record is from RNAcentral.
CCUACGCGAGGCAGCAGUGAGGAAUAUUGGUCAAUGGACGAGAGUCUGAACCAGCCAAGUAGCGUGAAGGAUGACUGCCCUAUGGGUUGUAAACUUCUUUUAUAUGGGAAUAAAAUGUUCCACGUGUGGGAUUUUGUAUGUACCAUAUGAAUAAGGAUCGGCUAACUCCGUGCCAGCAGCCGCGGUAAUACGGAGGAUCCGAGCGUUAUCCGGAUUUAUUGGGUUUAAAGGGAGCGUAGGUGGAUUGUUAAGUCAGUUGUGAAAGUUUGCGGCUCAACCGUAAAAUUGCAGUUGAAACUGGCAGUCGUGAGUACAGUAGAGGUGGGCGGAAUUCGUGGUGUAGCGGUGAAAUGCUUAGAUAUCACACAGAACACCGAUUGCGAAGGCAUCUGACGAAUCGGAGAUUGACGCUGAUGCACGAAAGCGUGGGUAUCGAACAGGAUUAGAUACCCCCGGUAGUC